Molecule: ribosomal RNA, 689 nt
Filed under: uncultured Bacteroidales bacterium
Lineage: Bacteria; Pseudomonadati; Bacteroidota; Bacteroidia; Bacteroidales
Description: bacterial SSU rRNA
Rfam family: Bacterial small subunit ribosomal RNA
Source: RNAcentral
AGCAUUCCAGUUUGCUUGCAAACUGGAGAUGGCGACCGGCGCACGGGUGAGUAACACGUAUCCAACCUGCCGAUAACUCGGGGAUAGCCUUUCGAAAGAAAGAUUAAUACCCGAUGGCAUAAUAGAACCGCAUGGUUUGAUUAUUAAAGAAUUUCGGUUAUCGAUGGGGAUGCGUUCCAUUAGGCAGUUGGUGGGGUAACGGCCCACCAAACCUUCGAUGGAUAGGGGUUCUGAGAGGAAGGUCCCCCACAUUGGAACUGAGACACGGUCCAAACUCCUACGGGAGGCAGCAGUGAGGAAUAUUGGUCAAUGGACGAGAGUCUGAACCAGCCAAGUAGCGUGAAGGAUGACUGCCCUAUGGGUUGUAAACUUCUUUUAUAUGGGAAUAAAGUGGUCCACGUGUGGAUUUUUGUAUGUACCAUAUGAAUAAGGAUCGGCUAACUCCGUGCCAGCAGCCGCGGUAAUACGGAGGAUCCGAGCGUUAUCCGGAUUUAUUGGGUUUAAAGGGGGCGUAGGUGGACAGUUAAGUCAGUUGUGAAAGUUUGCGGCUCAACCGUAAAAUUGCAGUUGAUACUGGCUGUCUUGAGUACAGUAGAGGUGGGCGGAAUUCGUGGUGUAGCGGUGAAAUGCUUAGAUAUCACGAAGAACUCCGAUUGCGAAGGCAGCUCACUGGACUGCAACUGACACUG